ACCUCCGCCACCAACACCUCCUCCCCCUCGCGCCUCAUCCACCGCUUCUCUUCCCCACCCCCACUUCCUCCUUCCUCUCUCGCCCUCGCCGCGCGCCCAGGAGCCAGUAGGUACCAUCGGAUCGCGCUGCGCUGGGAGGGCAGGGCGAUGGCGAUGGCGCGAGCUCUCCUCGGCGGGGGUUUCUCGGACGCCGGCGCCAGCGAGAGCGACGACCAUGAGGAGGAAGAGGACGUGCUCCGUGCUCGGCCUCGGCCAGGCCAUGGUUGACUUCUCAGGGAUGGUGGAAGACGAGUUUCUCGAGAGAUUGGGCAUAGAUAAGGGCACGAGAAGAAAAUAAACGAUAUACACUUAUUUAAGUGUACUGUAAAAAUUCUUCACGAGAAAGGUCUUGAACCACGAGGAGAGAGGACAGGUCUUGCGCGCCAUGGAUGGGUGCAGCUACAAGGCUGCAGCCGGAGGCUCCCUGUCCAACUCACUUGUGGCACUGACAAGACUUGGCAGUAGUCGGUCUGAUAGCUACCCUGAGCUCAAAAUUGUGAUGGCUCAAUGGCUGGCAGUGUGGGCAGCGACCCACUAGGUAGUUUCUACAGGCCGUACUGUUUCUGUUGCACCCGAUCUUGAUGUCCUACUUCUGCCCUAGGCCUUUAGAGCAUUAGCUGAUAUUAUUCUUUUGGUUUAAUUGCUAAUGUACAUUUCUUGUCUAAGCCAGUCAAAGAUGGAACUAUUGGAACUGUCAUCGUUCUAACAACGCCGGAUGCACAGCGAACUAUGCUUGCAUAUCAGGGUACAUCUUCAACUCUGAGUUAUGAUUCAGACUUGGCCAAUUUAGUGUCCAAAUCAAAUGUCCUAAUUGUGGAAGGUUAUCUAUUCGAGCUGCCUCACACGAUUGAAGCUAUCAAGCAAGCGUGUGAAGAUGCUCACAAGAAUGGUGCACUCAUUGCUGUUACAGCAUCAGAUGUAUCUUGCAUCAAGUGUUGCUACAAUGAUUUUUGGUGAGAAUAGUCUCCUCGCAAAGAAUUUCCUUUUAGUGUCACAGCCUGCAACCAUCUGGACCCAGUUGCACACAUUCCCAGGUCCCCAUAAGCCAUCUUUUACUUGCCUCCAUUGGUAAUGCAUAUCCUUUCUAAAAAGAAGAGUGUUAAGCAUCUAAAGCCACCUUAAUGGGAUACACAAAGGGCAUCUUUUCUAUAUCUGCUAGUAUCUCUGAAAGUAGCAUAGAAUCUUAUGGCACUAUGCUAGCAUACUUGUUCACAGGGAUAUCGUAGGAAACUAUGCAGACAUACUGUUUGCCAAUGCCAAUGAAGCAAGGACAUUCUGCGAGCUACCCUCAACAAAUAGCCCCAUGCCAGCCGCUAGAUACUUAAGCCAUUCUGUUACCCUAGUAUCUGUGACAGACGGUGUGCAUGGCUCCUACAUUGGGGUGAAAGGUGAAGCAAUGUACAUCCCUCCGCCGCCGUGCAUACCCGUGGACACCUGUGGCGCCGGUGAUGCAUACUCUUCCGGGAUUCUGUAUGGUAUUCUACGGGGCGCAUCGGACCUGAAGGGCAUCGGCCUGUCGGCGUAGCGGGUAGCUGCUGUUGUCGUCGGGCAGCAAGGCAGAUUGGCUGAAUCGUUUGCGCUUCACCUUGAUAGCUUGGAGUUUUGUUCAGAUGUUUGAACAGAUCAUGCUUCCAACAUCUGAUUGUUUUCUGGUUUAGUCCAAGUCCUAGACAUGUAUUUGUACAUAGGAUCACUUUCUUUCUUAGGUCUAGUACAUUGUUCAGGGCAGCCGAACUGGAUAAAGCCUUUCAGUUCGUUUGGUGUUGGUUACAAACUUCAUUGCUCAAAAUUGGAGUUACAUAGAUUUCAUUGCAGAGAAAUGUGAUAAAAUGGAAAAUGCACUGAUGUAGUA
RNA transcript from Phragmites australis (common reed), 1891 nucleotides. RefSeq lists it as uncharacterized. The transcript has 4 exons. The record is from RefSeq and is a predicted model, not a curated record. NCBI's taxonomy places the organism in Eukaryota, Viridiplantae, Streptophyta, Magnoliopsida, Poales, Poaceae.